AUGUACUCCAUCAAAUGUGGGCGUGGUUUGUGCGGUAUUUGCUGUUUCUUCCUGUCUUAUUUGGUCAACCAAAAGCUUUCAUUAGGCCAGCCAGAGAUCAUGAUUUUGCCCCCCAAUCCACAAACACUGGGUUUUUUUCAUUUUCAUUUUUUCUUUGGUUUAGAUCACUUAAACGAUAAAAGUCCAAGUUUAGCUCAUGCAUGCCUGGCACCUCUUUGCCCUCAAACAUUGAGAAUUCAAUUGCUUUGA
This 249-nucleotide long non-coding RNA is filed under the name Prunus dulcis (almond). RNAcentral's name for it is "sRNA ncRNA". Lineage: Eukaryota; Viridiplantae; Streptophyta; Magnoliopsida; Rosales; Rosaceae. The record is from RNAcentral.